AGAGUUUGAUCAUGGCUCAGGACGAACGCUGGCGGCGUGCCUAAAACAUGCAAGUCGAACGGUGUAGCAAUACACAGUGGCGAACGGCGGAGUAAUACAUGAACAACGUGCCCGGAAGACUGGGAUAGUCAGGGGAAACCCUGGGUAAUACCAGAUGUGGCCACUCUUUGGCAUCUUAGAGUGAUUAAAUGGUUUUUCGCUUCCGGAGCGGUUCAUGGCCUAUCAGGUAGUUGGUGAGGUAAUGGCUCACCAAGCCGACGACGGGUAGCGGGUCUGAGAGGAUGACCCGCUCGAGUGGGACUGAGACACGGCCCACACACCUACGGGUGGCAGCAGUUGGGAAUCUUGCACAAUGGGGGAAACCCUGAUGCAGCGACGCCGCGUGGAGGAUGAAGGAUCUAGGUCCGUAAACUCCUUUUUCAGGGAAAGACUUAGGACGGUACCCUGAGAAUAAGGACCGGCUAACUACGUGCCAGCAGCCGCGGUAAGACGUAGGGUCCAAGCGUUGUCCGGAUUUACUGGGCGUAAAGAGCGCGUAGGCGGCUCGUUAAGUGUGAAGUGAAAUCUCCAGGGCUCAACCCGGAAACUGCUUUACAUACUGGCGAGCUGGAGUGAUGAAGAGGUUUGUGGAAUUCCUGGUGUAGCGGUGAAAUGCGUUGAUAUCAGGAGGAACACCCAUGGCGAAGGCAGCAAACUGGUCAUCAACUGACGCUGAGGCGCGAAAGCGUGGGUAGCAAACAGGAUUAGAUACCCUAGUAGUCC
RNAcentral lists this ribosomal RNA (762 nucleotides) under uncultured bacterium. RNAcentral's name for it is "bacterial SSU rRNA". It matches the Rfam family "Bacterial small subunit ribosomal RNA", at positions 8 to 796 of the family's 1533-position model. The record is from RNAcentral.